GACGAACGCUGGCGGCAUGCCUAACACAUGCAAGUCGAACGAGACCUUCGGGUCUAGUGGCGCACGGGUGCGUAACGCGUGGGAAUCUGCCCUUGGGUUCGGAAUAACAGCGAGAAAUUGCUGCUAAUACCGGAUGAUGACGUAAGUCCAAAGAUUUAUCGCCCAAGGAUGAGCCCGCGUAGGAUUAGCUAGUUGGUGAGGUAAAGGCUCACCAAGGCGACGAUCCUUAGCUGGUCUGAGAGGAUGAUCAGCCACACUGGGACUGAGACACGGCCCAGACUCCUACGGGAGGCAGCAGUGGGGAAUAUUGGACAAUGGGCGAAGCCUGAUCCAGCAAUGCCGCGUGAGUGAUGAAGGCCUUAGGGUUGUAAAGCUCUUUUUACCCGGGAUGAUAAUGACAGUACCGGGA
This 409-nucleotide ribosomal RNA is filed under the name uncultured bacterium. RNAcentral describes it as "bacterial SSU rRNA". It matches the Rfam family "Bacterial small subunit ribosomal RNA", at positions 28 to 483 of the family's 1533-position model. The record is from RNAcentral.